RNAcentral lists this ribosomal RNA (198 nucleotides) under uncultured Bacillus sp. Its description in RNAcentral is "partial 16S ribosomal RNA". It matches the Rfam family "Bacterial small subunit ribosomal RNA", at positions 335 to 524 of the family's 1533-position model. The record is from RNAcentral. Lineage: Bacteria; Bacillati; Bacillota; Bacilli; Caryophanales; Bacillaceae.
ACUCCUACGGGAGGCAGCAGUAGGGAAUCUUCCGCAAUGGGCGAAAGUCUGACGGAGCAACGCCGCGUGAGCGAUGAAGGCCUUCGGGUCGUAAAGCUCUGUUGUUAGGGAAGAACAAGUACCGUUCGAAUAGGGCGGUACCUUGACGGUACCUAACCAGAAGGCCACGGCUAACUACGUGCCAGCAGCCGCGGUAAU